This 67-nucleotide transfer RNA is filed under the name Marmota monax (woodchuck). Its description in RNAcentral is "tRNA.Ala". It matches the Rfam family "tRNA". From Rfam's summary of the family: Transfer RNA (tRNA) molecules are approximately 80 nucleotides in length. Their secondary structure includes four short double-helical elements and three loops (D, anti-codon, and T loops). Lineage: Eukaryota; Metazoa; Chordata; Mammalia; Rodentia; Sciuridae. The record is from RNAcentral.
GGUUGUGGCUCAGCGAUAGAGCGUUCACCUAGCACGUGCAAGGCCCUGGGUUCAAUCCUCAGCACCA